RNAcentral lists this ribosomal RNA (852 nucleotides) under Lactobacillus sp. 14.2.37. Its description in RNAcentral is "bacterial SSU rRNA". It matches the Rfam family "Bacterial small subunit ribosomal RNA", at positions 61 to 877 of the family's 1533-position model. Lineage: Bacteria; Bacillati; Bacillota; Bacilli; Lactobacillales; Lactobacillaceae. RNAcentral also lists the same sequence under 1 other name. The record is from RNAcentral.
GUCGAACGAGCUUCCGUUGAAUGACGUGCUUGCACUGAUUUCAACAAUGAAGCGAGUGGCGAACUGGUGAGUAACACGUGGGGAAUCUGCCCAGAAGCAGGGGAUAACACUUGGAAACAGGUGCUAAUACCGUAUAACAACAAAAUCCGCAUGGAUUUUGUUUGAAAGGUGGCUUCGGCUAUCACUUCUGGAUGAUCCCGCGGCGUAUUAGUUAGUUGGUGAGGUAAAGGCCCACCAAGACGAUGAUACGUAGCCGACCUGAGAGGGUAAUCGGCCACAUUGGGACUGAGACACGGCCCAAACUCCUACGGGAGGCAGCAGUAGGGAAUCUUCCACAAUGGACGAAAGUCUGAUGGAGCAAUGCCGCGUGAGUGAAGAAGGGUUUCGGCUCGUAAAACUCUGUUGUUAAAGAAGAACACCUUUGAGAGUAACUGUUCAAGGGUUGACGGUAUUUAACCAGAAAGCCACGGCUAACUACGUGCCAGCAGCCGCGGUAAUACGUAGGUGGCAAGCGUUGUCCGGAUUUAUUGGGCGUAAAGCGAGCGCAGGCGGUUUUUUAAGUCUGAUGUGAAAGCCUUCGGCUUAACCGGAGAAGUGCAUCGGAAACUGGGAGACUUGAGUGCAGAAGAGGACAGUGGAACUCCAUGUGUAGCGGUGGAAUGCGUAGAUAUAUGGAAGAACACCAGUGGCGAAGGCGGCUGUCUAGUCUGUAACUGACGCUGAGGCUCGAAAGCAUGGGUAGCGAACAGGAUUAGAUACCCUGGUAGUCCAUGCCGUAAACGAUGAGUGCUAAGUGUUGGAGGGUUUCCGCCCUUCAGUGCUGCAGCUAACGCAUUAAGCACUCCGCCUGGG